GACGAACGCUGGCGGCGUGCCUAAUACAUGCAAGUCGAGCGAGCGGAACCAACAGAUUUACUUCGGUAAUGACGUUGGGAAAGCGAGCGGCGGAUGGGUGAGUAACACGUGGGGAACCUGCCCCUAAGUCUGGGAUACCAUUUGGAAACAGGUGCUAAUACCGGAUAAGAAAGCAGAUCGCAUGAUCAGCUUUUAAAAGGCGGCGUAAGCUGUCGCUAAGGGAUGGCCCCGCGGUGCAUUAGCUAGUUGGUAAGGUAACGGCUUACCAAGGCAACGAUGCAUAGCCGACUUGAGAGACUGAUCGGCCACAUUGGGACUGAGACACGGCCCAAACUCCUACGGGAGGCAGCAGUAGGGAAUCUUCCACAAUGGACGCAAGUCUGAUGGAGCAACGCCGCGUGAGUGAAGAAGGUUUUCGGAUCGUAAAGCUCUGUUGUUGGUGAAGAAGGAUAGAGGUAGUAACUGGCCUUUAUUUGACGGUAAUCAACCAGAAAGUCACGGCUAACUACGUG
RNAcentral lists this ribosomal RNA (512 nucleotides) under uncultured bacterium. RNAcentral's name for it is "partial 16S ribosomal RNA". It matches the Rfam family "Bacterial small subunit ribosomal RNA", at positions 28 to 507 of the family's 1533-position model. The record is from RNAcentral.